RNAcentral lists this ribosomal RNA (332 nucleotides) under uncultured Acidobacteriota bacterium. RNAcentral's name for it is "bacterial SSU rRNA". It matches the Rfam family "Bacterial small subunit ribosomal RNA", at positions 568 to 898 of the family's 1533-position model. The record is from RNAcentral. Lineage: Bacteria; Pseudomonadati; Acidobacteriota.
CUCGUAGGCGGCCAACUAAGUCAUACGUGAAAUCCCUCAGCUUAACUGGGGAACUGCGUGUGAUACUGGAUGGCUUGGAUUUGGGAGAGGGAUGCGGAAUUCCAGGUGUAGCGGUGAAAUGCGUAGAUAUCUGGAGGAACACCGGUGGCGAAGGCGGCAUCCUGGACCAAUAUUGACGCUGAGGAGCGAAAGCCAGGGGAGCAAACGGGAUUAGAUACCCCGGUAGUCCUGGCCCUAAACGAUGAAUGCUUGGUGUAGCGGGUAUCGAUCCCUGCUGUGCCGAAGCUAACGCAUUAAGCAUUCCGCCUGGGGAGUACGGUCGCAAGGCUGAA